AGUGGCGGACGGGUGAGUAACGCGUGAGAAUCUGCCCUCAGGAGGGGGAUAACGGUUGGAAACGACCGCUAAUACCCCAUAUGCCGCGAGGUGAAAUGAAUUUCGCCUGAGGAUGAGCUCGCGUCUGAUUAGCUAGUUGGUGGGGUAAAGGCCUACCAAGGCAUCGAUCAGUAGCUGGUCUGAGAGGAUGAUCAGCCACACUGGGACUGAGACACGGCCCAGACUCCUACGGGAGGCAGCAGUGGGGAAUUUUCCGCAAUGGGCGAAAGCCUGACGGAGCAACGCCGCGUGAGGGAUGAAGGCCUCUGGGCUGUAAACCUCUUUUAUCAAGGAAGAAGAUCUGACGGUACUUGAUGAAUAAGCCACGGCUAAUUCCGUGCCAGCAGCCGCGGUAAUACGGGAGUGGCAAGCGUUAUCCGGAAUUAUUGGGCGUAAAGCGUCCGCAGGCGGCCCUUCAAGUCUGCUGUUAAAGAGUGGAGCUUAACUCCAUCAUGGCAGUGGAAACUGUUGGGCUUGAGUGUGGUAGGGGCAGAGGGAAUUCCCGGUGUAGCGGUGAAAUGCGUAGAUAUCGGGAAGAACACCAGUGGCGAAGGCGCUCUGCUGGGCCAUCACUGACGCUCAUGGACGAAAGCCAGGGGAGCGAAAGGGAUUAGAUACCCCUGUAGUCCUGGCCGUAAACGAUGAACACUAGGUGUCGGGGGAAUCGACCCCCUCGGUGUCGUAGCCAACGCGUUAAGUGUUCCGCCUGGGGAGUACGCACGCAAGUGUGAAACUCAAAGGAAUUGACGGGGGCCCGCACAAGCGGUGGAGUAUGUGGUUUAAUUCGAUGCAACGCGAAGAACCUUACCAGGGUUUGACAUCCUGCGAAUCUCUUGGAAACGAGAGAGUGCCUUCGGGAACGCAGUGACAGGUGGUGCAUGGCUGUCGUCAGCUCGUGUCGUGAGAUGUUGGGUUAAGUCCCGCAACGAGCGCAACCCACGUCUUUAGUUGCCAGCAUUUAGUUGGGCACUCUAGAGAGACCGCCGGUGAUAAACCGGAGGAAGGUGUGGAUGACGUCAAGUCAUCAUGCCCCUUACAUCCUGGGCUACACACGUACUACAAUGCUACGGACAAAGGGCAGCAAGUUCGCGAGGACAAGCAAAUCCCAUAAACCGUGGCUCAGUUCAGAUCGUAGGCUGCAACUCGCCUACGUGAAGGAGGAAUCGCUAGUAAUCGCAGGUCAGCAUACUGCGGUGAAUACGUUCCCGGGCCUUGUACACACCGCCCGUCACACCAUGGAAGUUGGCCACGCCCGAAGCCGUUACUCCAACCCUCGGGAGGAGGACGUCGAAGGUGGGGCUGAUGACUGGGGUGAAGUCGUAACAAGGUAUCCGUACCGGAAGGUGCGGAUGGAUCACCUCCUAACAGGGAGACAACACAAUGAUUUUGAUGCCUGAGUACUUUUAUUCUUAGGCCGAAAUCCUGUCACCUUAGGUCGAUCGGUACCUCAGCGUUGAAGCAACAGAGUUAACAGAGAUGUUGAUGCGUGUUGUGGAGAUGAUCAGUUCCUAAACUUUGUCUAGGUCACACCCCACAAGGGUUGAGUUUUCCUGGGCCAUUAGCUCAGGUGGUUAGAGCGCACCCCUGAUAAGGGUGAGGUCCCUGGUUCAAGUCCAGGAUGGCCCAUUCGGUGUUGGGGGUUUAGCUCAGUUGGUAGAGCGCCUGCUUUGCAAGCAGGAUGUCAGGAGUUCGAGUCUCCUAACCUCCACUGACCGAACUCAAUCUCCGGUUUUGCAUUGAAAGAUGGAGAACCACUCGAUUGUGAAGUGUGAUUUAGAUGUGUCCGCUGGAUGACCCCAGCUUCCUGUCAUUCCAAAUCGAAGUAAGUUAGUUUACUUAAUUGAAUUUGGUUGAUAAGAUGCUGGGCUCGAUUUCAGUGAUCAAGCAAUUGGUCAUUGGAUUUGAAGUUCUGGCAGAACCUUGACAACUGCAUAGGUAAGUCUGGAAAAAACAAAGCAUCUUACAGAUGCAUUGUUUUGAAUCUGAUCUUCUGAAAGGGAGAUUGGAUCUAGAACAAUGAAAAUUCUUUUGAGCAAGAGCCGAGACUCUUGAGCGUUCUUUGAUUCGUGUCGAGCGAAUCAGAGUUAGAUCUUGUUUUAGGAAUCAGCGAAAGUUGAUGAUUAAAACUUGAGAAUCUGCUUUCAACGGCGGUAAGCGUUCAGGAGAUUAAUUGGUCAAGCUACAAAGGGCUCACGGCGGAUACCUUGGCACACAGAGGCGAUGAAGGACGUGGUUACCUGCGAUAAGUCUCGGGGAGCUGGAAGCACGCUUUGAUCCGGGAAUUUCCGAAUGGGGCAACCCCUAGUACGGCCAGCUGAAUCCAUAGGCUGGCGCGAGCCAACCCAGCGAACUGAAACAUCUUAGUAGCUGGAGGAAAGGAAAGUAAAAACGACUCCCUAAGUAGCGGCGAGCGAACGGGGAAGAGCCUAAACCGAUACUUUCGAGUAUCGGGGUUGUGGGACAGCAACGUGUAUCAGGGAUGUUAGGAGAAGUGUUUGAAUGACACGCCACAGAGGGUGAAAGCCCCGUAACCGAAAACUGAACUGAGCUAGCUGUAUCCCGAGUAGCACGGAGCACGUGAAAUUCCGUGUGAAUCCGCGAGGACCACCUCGUAAGGCUAAGUACUACUGUGUGACCGAUAGCGAAACAGUACCGCGAGGGAAAGGUGAAAAGAACCCCGGGAGGGGAGUGAAAUAGAACAUGAAACCGUGAGCCUACAAGCAAUGGGAGCCCUACUCAUAGGGUGACCGUGUGCCUGUUGAAGAAUGAGCCGGCGACUUAUAGGCACUGGCGGGUUAAACCGGAAAUGGUGGAGCCAUAGCGAAAGCGAGUCUGAAUAGGGCGCUUGUCAGUGUUUAUAGACCCGAACCCGGGUGAUCUAACCAUGGCCAGGAUGAAGCUUGGGUGAUACCAAGUGGAGGUCCGAACCGACUGACGUUGAAAAGUCAGCGGAUGAGCUGUGGUUAGGGGUGAAAUGCCAAUCGAACCCGGAGCUAGCUGGUUCUCCCCGAAAUACGUUGAGGCGUAGCGUCUGAUGCUCCAGCAGGGGGGUAAAGCCACCAUUUCGGUGCGGGCUGCGAGAGCGGUACCAAAUCGAGAUGAACUCUGAAUACCCUGUGUGUAGUCAGGCAGUCAGACUGUGGGGGAUAAGCUCCAUGGUCAAGAGGGAAACAGCCCAGACCGCCAGCUAAGGUCCCCAAAUCAACACUAAGUGAUAAAGGAGGUGGGAUUCCAUAGACAACCAGGAGGUUUGCCUAGAAGCAGCCAUCCUCAAAGGAGUGCGUAAUAGCUCACUGGUCGAGGGAUCCUGCGCCGAAAAUGAACGGGGCUAAGUGUUGUACCGAAGCUGCGGAUUUAUGGUAGGGGAGCGUUCUAUGUGGGGCGAAGCGUUAGCGUGAGCGGGCGUGGACUGCAUAGAAGUGAGAAUGUCGGCUUGAGUAGCGAAAACAUGGGUGAGAAUCCCAUGCACCGAAACCCUAAGGGUUCCUCCGGCAGGCUCGUCCGCGGAGGGUUAGUCUGGACCUAAGGCGAGGCCGAAAGGCGUAGUCGAUGGAUAACAGGUCAACAUUCCUGUACCGGUUAUGUUUUGGGAAGAGGGACGGAGAAGGCUAGCCAAGCCAGAUGUUGGUUACUGGUUCAAGCGUUCGAGGCGUUGAGGAGCGGUGAAAACGUUCCGAGCUAAGGCGUGAGUACGAGCUGCUACGGCAGCGAAGUUGGUGACGUCAUGCUUCCAAGAAAAGCUCUAUACCCGUUAAGGCAUAACUGCCAGUACCCGAAACCGACACAGGUGGGGUGGUAGAGAAUACCGAGGUGCGCGAGGUAACUCUCUCUAAGGAACUCGGCAAAAUGGCCCCGUAACUUCGGGAGAAGGGGUGCCACCGCAAGGUGGUCGCAGUGAAGAGGCCCUGGCGACUGUUUACCAAAAACACAGGUCUCCGCUAAGUCGCAAGACGAUGUAUGGGGGCUGACGCCUGCCCAGUGCCGGAAGGUUAAGGAAGCCGGUCAGCGUAAGCGAAGCUGGCGACUGAAGCCCCGGUGAACGGCGGCGUAACUAUAACGGUCCUAAGGUAGCGAAAUUCCUUGUCGGGUAAGUUCCGACCGCACGAAAGGCGUAACGAUCAGGGCUGCUGUCUCGGAGAGAGGCUCGGCGAAAUAGAAUUGUCUGUGAAGAUGCGGACUACGUACACCUGGACAGAAAGACCCUAUGAAGCUUUACUGUAGCUUGGUAUUGUGCCCGGGCUCUGAAUGCGCAGGAUAGGUGGGAGACGUUGAAGUAGUGCUUGCGGGUGCUACUGAGUCAAUGGUGAGAUACCACUCUUUCAGAGCUAGGGUUCUAACGUUCACCCGUUAUCCGGGGAGCGGACAGUAUCAGGUGGGCAGUUUGACUGGGGCGGUCGCCUCCUAAAAGGUAACGGAGGCGCGCAAAGGUUCCCUCAGGCUGGUUGGAAAUCAGCUGACGAGUGCAAAAGCAGAAGGGAGCUUGACUGUGAGACCCACAAGUCGAACAGGGACGAAAGUCGGCUUUAGUGAUCCGACGGUUCUGAGUGGAAGGGCCGUCGCUCAACGGAUAAAAGUUACUCUAGGGAUAACAGGCUGAUCUCCCCCAAGAGUUCACAUCGACGGGGAGGUUUGGCACCUCGAUGUCGGCUCAUCGCAACCUGGGGCUGAAGUCGGUCCCAAGGGUUGGGCUGUUCGCCCAUUAAAGCGGUACGCGAGCUGGGUUCAGAACGUCGUGAGACAGUUCGGUCCAUAUCCGGUGUACGCGUAGGAACAUUGAGAGGAUUUCUCCCUAGUACGAGAGGACCGGGAGGAACGCACCUCUGGUGUACCAGUUAUCGUGCCAACGGUAAACGCUGGGUAGCCAUGUGCGGAGUGGAUAACCGCUGAAAGCAUCUAAGUGGGAAGCCCACCUCAAGAUGAGUGUUCCCAUGGGGUAACCCAGUAAGGUCACGGGGAGAACACCCGUUGAUAGGCUCUAUGUGGAAGUCCAGUAAUGGAUGCAGCAGAGGAGUACUAAUAGACCGAGGGCUUGACCAACAUUUUGGUUCUUGCCUUAAGACAACAUUCUUUGUUUGAUUCAGACGCGCAACUACGGUUGCAGAUCCUAUGCAGUUCUCAGGGUUCACACCUUGGGAAUGAUUUUUAUCCUGGUGUUCAUGGCGGUGUGGUCCCACUUCGAUCCAUCUCGAACUCGGUUGUGAAACGCAUCAGCGGCGACGAUAUUUGGGGGGUAGCCCCCUGAGAAAAUAGCUCAAUGCC
RNAcentral lists this ribosomal RNA (5298 nucleotides) under Parasynechococcus marenigrum WH 8102. The record is from RNAcentral. Lineage: Bacteria; Bacillati; Cyanobacteriota; Cyanophyceae; Synechococcales; Prochlorococcaceae.